Sinocyclocheilus anshuiensis is the source of this 564-nucleotide long non-coding RNA. RefSeq lists it as uncharacterized. The transcript is spliced from 3 exons. The record is from RefSeq and is a predicted model, not a curated record. NCBI's taxonomy places the organism in Eukaryota, Metazoa, Chordata, Actinopteri, Cypriniformes, Cyprinidae.
AUCCGCAGCUCUGGGAGUCUCCUGAUGAGUUCAGACCAGAGAGGUUCAGCCCAGAAAGUAAGUCAGAGAUGAACCAAUACGCUUUCAUGCCUUUUGGACUCGGGCCUCGAAAUUGCAUUGGAAUGAGAUUCGCCCAAAUGAUCAUGAAACUUCUUGUUGUGAAGCUGCUUCAGAACUUCAGUAUGGAAACAUGUAAAGAGACACAGAUCCCUCUAGAGCUGAAUGCUAUUUUUCAGCCGAAGGUUCCCAUCACACUGAAGUUUAUACCAAGGUCUUGCAAGGCAAAAGAAUAAUUAAAAUGCAGAAUAUUUCAAUAUAAUUGUGUAGAAGAUUUGAUACUAUGUUAUAUAGCAUUUAUAAAAUUACUCUUUUUAUUAUUAUUCACCUUUUUCACCAUAUUUUUGGAUUUACGGUGCUGAUGGUUUGCUGGGCCUGGGAUGUGUAUGUUUAAUUAUAUAACAUAUAAGCAAUGAAUGCAAUGUAAAGUGUUAUUAUUGUAGCUGUGCGAGACAGGAGCAUGUACUUUAAUAACAGAAUUAAAUACAUUUUUUGUUGGAGAACAGA